RNAcentral lists this microRNA (20 nucleotides) under Corchorus capsularis. Its description in RNAcentral is "sRNA CCACVL1_26280". Lineage: Eukaryota; Viridiplantae; Streptophyta; Magnoliopsida; Malvales; Malvaceae. The record is from RNAcentral.
AUAUCUUCUUCUUCUUCUCA